RNAcentral lists this ribosomal RNA (305 nucleotides) under uncultured bacterium. RNAcentral's name for it is "bacterial SSU rRNA". It matches the Rfam family "Bacterial small subunit ribosomal RNA", at positions 336 to 639 of the family's 1533-position model. The record is from RNAcentral.
UUCCUACGGGACGCAGCAGUGAGGAAUAUUGGUCAAUGGGCGGGAGCCUGAACCAGCCAAGUCGCGUGAAGGAAGAAGGUACUUAGUAUUGUAAACUUCUUUUGUCGGGGAACAAAGGCGGAGACGCGUCUCCGGAUGAGUGUAUCCGAAGAAAAAGCAUCGGCUAACUCCGUGCCAGCAGCCGCGGUAAUACGGAGGAUGCGAGCGUUAUCCGGAUUUAUUGGGUUUAAAGGGUGCGCAGGCGGUACGUUAAGUCAGCGGUAAAAUUGCGGGGCUCAACCCCGGCCGGCCGUUGAAACUGGCUG